RNAcentral lists this ribosomal RNA (119 nucleotides) under Helianthus annuus (common sunflower). Lineage: Eukaryota; Viridiplantae; Streptophyta; Magnoliopsida; Asterales; Asteraceae. The record is from RNAcentral.
GCUUGCGAUCAUACCAGCACUAAUGCACCGGAUCCCAUCAGAACUCCGCUGUUAAGCGUGCUUGGGCGAGAGUAGUACUAGGAUGGGUGACCCCCUGGGAAGUCCUCGUGUUGCAACCC